GGACCUCAAUGAUCGAUUGAACCGAAUUCCAGUAUAUAGCUUGCUGAUUUGAUUUUCAUUUUUUAGCAGUUAUUAGGUAAAGCUACAGUUUACAUGCAAUAUACGCAAAUAAAGAAAACUGUGAUUCUUUCCUUCGGAGUUUCAAUCUGAUUUUCAUUUCUUUCUUUCUUUCUUUCUUCUUUUUGCUAUCGAGUGCCAUCCAAAUACUAAGUUGGAGAGAUAACUAGACCUCGUUGGAAACUAAAGGUGGUAAAUGUAAGUACUAGCUCAAUUGCUUUGAUCCUUGGCAGUCGCUAUCUUUUCAAACAUAACAGCAUGUUUUAUCAGAUGAAGAAUGUGAUGCACAUUGUUAUUUUUGACUGGGUUUUCUGUUUCCUUGAUUUGAGCUGAUUCGGGAUUUGUCUGUGCUGCAGUCUAGCACCGCAAUGAUUGAUUGCACCGAAUUCCAGUUUAUAGCUUGCUAA
This 464-nucleotide long non-coding RNA is filed under the name Fragaria vesca (wild strawberry). RNAcentral's name for it is "long non-coding RNA (FVES_LNC001796)". The record is from RNAcentral. Lineage: Eukaryota; Viridiplantae; Streptophyta; Magnoliopsida; Rosales; Rosaceae.